Molecule: long non-coding RNA, 5618 nt
Organism: Bos taurus (domestic cattle)
Lineage: Eukaryota; Metazoa; Chordata; Mammalia; Artiodactyla; Bovidae
Source: Ensembl
GUAUAUUCCUUACUAGUGGAUGUAGCUGGUCUUUUCUCUUUUGAUCUUAGGGAUCCUUCUGCUGCUGCUGCUGCUAAGUCGCUUCAGUCAUGUCCGACUCUGUUCAACCCCAUAGACGGCAGCCCACCAGGCUCCCCCGUCCCUGGGAUUUUCCAGGCAAGAGUGCUGGAGUGGGGUGCCAUUGACUUCUCCUAAGGAUCUUUCUAGUUGGUUGAAAAAGACCUAUUUUUAAAUCCCUUCAGUGACCUGUCCUCCUUGCCACUAAUAUCUUCCACAUCUCAGCUUGUUGUGAAGGGAUGGCCCAGGUGAGCCAAAACAGCUAUGCAUCUGCCACUCAGGCUCUUUCCCUAGGCUGCUUCUCAUUCUAACUGUACCAACUCCACCCAGUUCCUUAGGGUUUCUUAACUCCCUUCAGCAGACGUCAGCUACAUACUCUGGACUCAUGAUUCAGCUUGAACUGGGUAGGCACAUUUUUUUUUUUUUUUAAAAGCAAAAAAGAGGGAUACCAAUCAAAAGAAAAAAGAAAUAAUAAGAGUUUGGGGACAUUCAGUAUUGCAAUGGGAAAUUGGGGAACUGGGCUGUGGAGGGGCAUAUUCUCCCUCAGUGCAUUUUGAAUUGAUUUUCAGAGAUAGAGAUGGGCUCUACAAUAAGGGCUGAGUAUUACCAAACAAGGACUCCCUGCCCUAUGAACAGAGAAGCCCAUACUAUGGCAGUGGCUUUCAAGAAAAGAAAGAGCUUUACUGUGAGGUUGACAGGCAAAAAAGGCAUGAGGCAAAGCUCUCAAAUUUGUCUCCCUGAUCCAGGGUUAAGGUGAAAUUUAAAGGGCUAGAGGAAUUUCAAAUGUGGAAGCUGAUUGGCUAGUCUUAGAAUUAGUCCAUAUAGGCUACUAGUCCUGCUGGAAGCCAAGUUUUCCUAAUUGAAAAUUUUCUUGCUUGGUAAAGAGCUCCAGUGGCAACAUUUUCACUCUUUUGAGUUUUGUAGACUGAAGAUUCUUGAUUCCAGGGUAAUCUUGGGGAUGUGGGUUCCUGUUUUGCACAUGUCUAGUGCUGUGUCUCUGUAAAGUAACUUAAGAUCUGAUUAAUCAACAACCUGUGCAGCAAAACUCUUUUCAGCUGGUGCUGUUUCACUUAAUUGACAAGCUAUUUAAGGAGGCAAAACCGGUUCAAACUGGUGCACUUUCAAGAGAGAACAGAGAAGGGAUGCAGAGCUGCUGCUGACUCUCCACUUUGCUUUUUUUGUCCUACAUUGGAGGAAACUGGUGUGUUCAAACUUUGGUCUACUGGAAUCAGUUUGGAGGCCCCUACUUGCUUUUCAAGUAUUGUAGGAGGAAAUUAUAAGAGGUGAUGCAGACUCCUGAAUUCUGAAGGGAAAUGCUUCACUGAAUGGUUAUAAUUCAGCUCCAAACCUCACUGCCAUUCCCACAGUGACUCAUCGAGAGCAGGAGGAUGCUGGGAAAAUCUUUUAGGCCAUUUGGAGGAGUGCUUGAAUAAGUGGUUUAACACCUGUUCACAGACUACUCACCACCCUCUGACCCUCAUCCACCAAGCCCUUUGGUAUUUCAUGGAAGACUUUAUUGGAGCUGGCCAGUGUUGGGUGCCUUGUGAAUUCUAUGCAUAAUUUAGCAAAUUUACCAAUGUUUGCCACCAUGUGUUCUAGCCCUGACUCUGGGACUUCAAGACUCCAGCCAUAUUUUAGAGCCUUUGACUUUCAUUUGUCCAUCCAGUUCUGUAAAUAUUGACAAAAUGAGGCUCUUAAAUACAGUAAAAUGGGCUCAGAUGAAUAACAAAUCUAUAGUGAAGAUGCCUAAGUCUCUCAGUAAACCUCAAACAAAUCCUGGGAAAGUUUCCUAACGUAGUUUCUUUGUGUCCCUUUCCCACCUCCUAGGGCAGGGCAGAGAACCUGGAUGAGAGACAUGGAUAAAGGGAUAUUUUAUGAAAUCUUUUAGACACUGACAUUUCAUGAAUUUCUUCUUUUGAGUGAGGAAUGGAGCAAGAUUUUGCACUUGCCUUAUUGUUAUUAAUCCCAAAGUUAGGCCUACAAGCAGUGUCCUUGGGGACACAGUUUCCCUGGGCUUGGGGUGUCAAGUCAGCACAGAGGUGACAAAAUUAACUUUGGAAGUCCCUUAAUGCACCCAUACAGGACAGUGUUACUAGUUUUUGUGCCUAAAAUCCUGCAAGUAAUUUUUGUGUACCUUCAAGUAUGAGAACCACUGUGAGGAGGAACAGAGUAGGUGUGCAGCUCUGAGGAAUUCAAACCAACCUGUCUUUAAAAUCACCAUCAAAACCUUAGUAUGACUGGGGGAUGAGCUGGCAUUCCCAAAAUGACCCUGACAGCCUACAGGCUUUAGUCAACCCUGUUUUUAUAUUGAGCCUUUCUAACCUUAAUGCAGUGUUACAGAUUGAUUAUGAUUGCUAAGCUUAAACUAGGAAGCGGAGUCACAUCUCGGAGGACGGGGGCAGGGGAGAGUGGGUGGGUUUAGUCUCCCAAACUUGCAAGCCUGCGCUAAAUUAGACCUUGAUGCAGCUUCACUGUACUCAAGAAAGCAAUGGAAUUCUUGGGCAAACCAGGGCAGUUUGUGGAUAUAAAAUGACUUUAAAAAUUAAAUGCUGUAGUGAAUUCAAAUGUUCAAACUCAGAGUUCCUCAGAGUGGAGGAGAAAUCCCUAUAAUAGAGGCCUUUCUCUCUCCUUUCACUUCUCCCCCUCCAUCUUAUUGUAUCUUCAAUUAUCUGGGUAAUUUGGUCCUGAGGGCAUAAAUUCCUUUAUAACUCAAAUCCAUUAUGCAGAGAAGAGUCAUCAGGAAAUUACUCAGAUUGCAUCCCUGAUGGUGUGAAGGUUUUGGAGCAGAUCCGGCAUCCCAUUAGCAAAGCACUGCUCUUGAAUUCAGAUUUGAGCCUGGAGGCUGGACAUCCAUGCUCUUCCCUUCGCCCCUCUUUGUUUCAGCAAGGGCCGCCUGUAGGGAAGUCCCGUGCUGGUGCUGGCUGGCGGCAGCUUCUCUCCAUCCGAGGCCACGGCUGCUGCCAGCUUCCCUUGGCUGGCGUAGACACCUUCUCUCCAGGCCAGGGAGAGCCGCUGCCAGGCGGGCAGACGUAUGCUUUCAUCAUGUCUCACCAUCUCCUGGAGCCAGGCACCCAGGCCUUUUAAUUCCUGUAAAACUCGGGUCUUUCUGGUGGAGAGCUGGUUUUCAUAUCUGUGGCCUGACGGGGAUCGUCCUUGUGCUGCUGCUGGUGGUCUGUGAGCAGCCUGCCUUUGAGCUGACAGGCCCUCAACCAAAAUGCAAACAUAUUCAAGUUCAAUUUUGGAAGAGGACAUUCUAAGUCUGGCAACCUCUGUCAUCUGGCUUCAUUCUUUCUAGAUUUCUGGUUUACUAGGGAUAUUCAGUUUGGUUUUAUUAUUUGUGUAUACAGGUUUUCCCUCUCCCCCCGCCCCCACCCCUGCUCACCCCUGCAAAGUGACGACUUUGAGGAAGGCAGCAUGUAGAAGGAUCUUAGAUUAUGGUUCAGGCAGACCUGUGUCUAUUGCUCUUUGUGUCUUCCCUCACAAUUAAGUAAAUACUGUAAGAGAGAAUUUUGUGUAUUUCAAUCUCUGCUGUGUCCCCAGUGUCUGGCAUUGUGCCAGGCACAUAGUAGGUGAUCCAUGAGGAAUUAAAGUGCACGAGGAAAAGAAUGGGCUAGCAUGCUGUGCUCUAAUUAGCAGCUUUGUGAUUUUAGGAAGAAUUCUUUUAAAUGCCAUUUUUCAUUUUGUCACCUGCAAAAUGGUCAUGAAAUGUGUAAGACCAUAGAGAAAGUACCUGGCUAGUGCUGUGUUCAACAAAUGGUAGGGUUUCCCUCUUCCAUUUGUCAACCGUAGAGUGAACUCUUCAAGGACAAACACCUAGUUUGAUUCUCCAUUUCCCAGGCCUAGCACUGCUCCUGCACAGAGUGGGUGUUCCAUAACGACUUGUUGAAUGAAUCUAGUCCUCCAUGGGAAGCGGGUGCUUGGGGAUCAGUGAAGUUGACUACUGAGGACAGGCCUAGAAAAGUUACCUUUCUAUUGUGUCUCAUUCUGGUAUCUGUUUCUAUGUGAGGGAAAUGAAUAGAGAAUUCUCUCCAGAUCAUCUGGAUCUAUGGAUUAUGUGAUGAUUUGAAAAGGAAUUUUUUACUGAAAUUUCUUCUUUUCAGUCAAAAAAGACCACUCAUAGGAUAAAAGGCCAGGCCUUGCAGUGAUUUGCUGACCACACUCUACAUAUUUUGGAAGUUUGAUACUUUAUGUGUAAUUUCUUGCACAUUUGUAAUGUUAGGUCACGUGACCCAUUCCGUGAGUUAACACACCUGCUACUGUUACACCCAUUUGACAAGGAAGAAAAGUAGAGGCAGGACAUGGAGAUUUGCCAAAGUCAGACACUUAUUUAGUGGUGCUAAGUUAGAAACUGCAUUUCCUCACCCCAAACUCGCCUCACUAGAGCAUGUAGCUUCUGUGAGUAUUGAGCUGAAAGGAGGAUACAGAUGUUUUGCACUCCUGUUCCCUUUGUCAAUGUUACUUAUUUGCAAAAUCUUGCCUUUUUUUCUGUUACUUGACCCAAGGUCUGUAUCUGCCACACCACUUACAAAUUGCUCCAAUCUCUAUUUUUGUUGUUAUGCCUGACAUAUAGUCACUUUCUCAGCUUGCAGCUCAAUUAAUCAUGCUCGUGUAAUUUUGAAGGGAACUUUUGUGUUCGUUUAAAUUUGGAAGGUGUUGAAGAAUCACUUACAGCUUUCAGCACUACUUUCUCCAGAUAUGACCCAGCUGAGAAUGUCUAUUUGAUUUACUGUGUUAAGUUGUGUCUAUUUCGUUUUUCAAGAGGGGCUAGCCUUAUUAAUUUUAUUCUAUUUGGGGGAAUAAUUAAUUUUAUUCUAUUUUAUGGAAUCUAUAUUAUUUAUAAUUUAUUUAUAUUUAUAAUUCAUUUAUUUAUAAUUUUAUUCUAUUUGGGGGAAUAAUUAAUUUUACUCUAUUUUGGGCUUCCCUUGUGGCUCAGCUGGUAAAGAAUCCACUUGCAAUGCAGGAGACCUGGGUUCGAUCCCUGGGUUGGGAAGAUCCCCUGGAGAAGAGAAAGGGUACUCACUCCUGUAUUCUUACCUGGAGAAUUCCAUGGACUGACUCAUGGGUUGCAAAGAGUUGGAAACAACUGAAUGACUUUCAUUUUCAAUUUUGGGAAAAAAGAGAAGAAUAUAUUUAUUCCUAUAUCAGAAGAUAUUCCUAUGCUGGUAAUUCAAGGCCAAAUUUUUUUUGUUAACCUCUGAUAAAAUAACAUGUAAACUGAAUGCAAAUCAAGUGUGACCUAAGACUUAUUAUAUUAUUGACAAUUCUGGUCCCAUCCAAAGCCACAGAAGAUAAUAAAUUAAGUACUUCUUCACGUAGUAUUGGUGAUGUUCAAUGCAAACUCUUUUGAAGAUGAAAUGGAACAUUUUUAUGAAGAGGGAUGAAUGAAAUACAAUAAGCUACUGUGGAGAUAAUUACUAGAAUGGAGGUAAAAUAGGUACCUUGGUGAUUCUUCUCUAGUGUUGCCAUAGGUAUGGUCAUUUAGAUGCAGCAUGAUGCCUCAAGCUAUAGAAUGCUAGCUCAAGGGUACCAAAGUGUAGACAAUUCUAUACUCAGUUCAUAUG